RNAcentral lists this long non-coding RNA (693 nucleotides) under Capsicum annuum. RNAcentral describes it as "long non-coding RNA (CANN_LNC002422)". The record is from RNAcentral. Lineage: Eukaryota; Viridiplantae; Streptophyta; Magnoliopsida; Solanales; Solanaceae.
CCCUUCUAACCGUCAUACCUUUUGAGUCUCGAUUCACCACUGCUAUUUCCGGUUGAGGUGCCAACCGGUUUUGGAUCAACAAAAGGCACGAUUUCCCAAUCUUCGCCUUGAGUAGAUUCCACGUUGUUAACACCAGUCGCACCAGUAGCUUGAAGGCCUGUUUCCACCUCCAAAUCUAUAGCAAAUUUUCAAAAAACACAUCCGACUCCAAAUUAGUUAAAUAAUUGAACGCGACAACUAACUAAAAUAGGUUUCGCAAAUGCAGUAAUAUUAUGAAACGAUACGUAACAAGUUGCAUGAAACAAUAAAAACACAUAAUAACAACAAUACCGUCAUCAUUUUUUCUCUCAUUUUCCACCAUAACAGAAACUUCAUCCUCAACCCUCUCAAUAUCUCCGCGUAGCAAUCCACGCUUUCAAUUGUCUCGUUCUCUAUUUCUUCGUUUCUCUCAGACAACAAAUCGUUGUCCUUCUUUUAGUACCUACGAUGCUCUUCUAUUAUCAUAUUAUACGUUUUUUACAUAUUCCUGUUUCUUUCCUUGAUUUUCUUUCCACAUUUCAUUAGAUAUCUUUGCACAAAAGAGUAGUGUUCUUCUUUAACAAUUCGUUUUUCCUUAAAGAUCUUCUGCGAUCGAUGUCCUCUUCGACGAAAAUGUGAUAAUAAUGAGAUUUUCUUGAUAUAGCGAAAAAGUGC